Scleropages formosus (Asian bonytongue) is the source of this 270-nucleotide long non-coding RNA. RefSeq lists it as uncharacterized. NCBI's taxonomy places the organism in Eukaryota, Metazoa, Chordata, Actinopteri, Osteoglossiformes, Osteoglossidae. The record is from RefSeq and is a predicted model, not a curated record. The transcript has 3 exons.
AGCGGAAGUAGAAGAAGAAGAAAAGAAAAGAAAAGGGGAGAGAAGAGAAGAGAAGCGCAGCGCUUUCGCUUCUCACAGCCAGCGCUUCUGCAUCUGGACACAUGGAUGCCAUCAGUCAUCACUGAGCAGUGAAGAUGGCACACGGGCUGAAGAUCCCUGACAGGAGACAAGCGGCAUCUCACUGAGCAGUGUAAGAAAACACGAGAGAAGAUUGUAGAAGAUCAUGAUGGUAGAGCCAGGACCCAAAUAGGUUUCACUGUCACACGGGCU